UUGAAUCAACUUUGUAAGUCGCUCUGGAUAAGAGCGUCUGCUAAAUGACUUAAA
Salmo salar (Atlantic salmon) is the source of this 54-nucleotide non-coding RNA. The record is from Rfam. Lineage: Eukaryota; Metazoa; Chordata; Actinopteri; Salmoniformes; Salmonidae.